CAAAAGCUUGGUCCUGACUUUUUUAUUAAUUAAUAGCAAAAUUAUACAUGCAAAUAUCCUUACACCGGUGAGAAUGCCCUUUAAAUCUCGCAGAGACAAGAAGGAGCAGGUAUCAAGCACGCCAACGGCAGCUCACAACAUCUUGCUUCGCCACACCCCCACGGGACACAGCAGUAAUAAAAAUUAAGCAAUGAACGAAAGUUUGACUAAGUUAUGCCUUAACUCUUCAAUCUUAGGGUUGGUAAAUAUCGUGCCAGCCACCGCGGUUAUACGAUUGACCCAAAUUAAUAAAUAUACGGCGUAAAAGUGUUUUAGGAGGGACCAAAAAUAAGACUAAAAUUCAUCUAAAUCGUAAAAAAUUCUAGAUAAAUUUAAAUUCACAAACGAAAGUAAUCUUAACUUACCUGAAUACACGAAAGCUAGGACACAAACUGGGAUUAGAUACCCCACUAUGCCUAACCGUAAAUAUAAAAUUUUUUAACAAAAAUUUCUGCCAGAGAACUACUAGCAACAGCUAAAAACUCAAAGGACUUGACGGUGCUUACACCCACCUAGAGGAGCCUGUUCUGUAAUCGAUAAACCCCGAUCUACCUCACCGUUUCUUGCUAAUUCAGUCUAUAUACCGCCAUCCUUAGCAAACCCAAUUAUGGUAUAAAAGUAAGCACAAGUACUAACAUAAAAACGUUAGGUCAAGGUAUAGCUCAUGAAACGGGAAGCAAUGGGCUACAUUUUCUUUAUAAGAAAAUUACUUACGGUAAUCCUUAUGAAAUUUUGGAUUCAAGGAGGAUUUAGCAGUAAAUUAAGAAUAGAGAGCUUAAUUGAACAAGGCCAUGAAGCACGUACACACCGCCCGUCACCCUCCUCAAAUAUACGUAAACUGAAUAACCUUACCAAAUUAAAACAAAUAUUAGAGGAGAUAAGUCGUAACAAGGUAAGCGUACUGGAAAGUGUGCUUGGAAAAA
RNAcentral lists this non-coding RNA (962 nucleotides) under Coendou insidiosus. RNAcentral's name for it is "12S ribosomal RNA". It matches the Rfam family "Bacterial small subunit ribosomal RNA". Lineage: Eukaryota; Metazoa; Chordata; Mammalia; Rodentia; Erethizontidae. The record is from RNAcentral.